RNAcentral lists this ribosomal RNA (468 nucleotides) under uncultured bacterium. Its description in RNAcentral is "partial 16S ribosomal RNA". It matches the Rfam family "Bacterial small subunit ribosomal RNA", at positions 28 to 507 of the family's 1533-position model. The record is from RNAcentral.
GACGAAAGAUGGAGGAGGGAGGAACACAGGCAAGUCGAACGGAAAGGCCCUGCUUUUGUGGGGUGCUCGAGUGGCGAACGGGUGAGUAACACGUGAGUAACCUGCCCUUGACUUUGGGAUAACUUCAGGAAACUGGGGCUAAUACCGGAUAGGAGCUCCUGCUGCAUGGGGGGGGUUGGAAAGUUUCGGCGGUUGGGGAUGGACUCGCGGCUUAUCAGCUUGUUGGUGGGGUAGUGGCUUACCAAGGCUUUGACGGGUAGCCGGCCUGAGAGGGUGACCGGCCACAUUGGGACUGAGAUACGGCCCAGACUCCUACGGGAGGCAGCAGUGGGGAAUAUUGCACAAUGGGCGGAAGCCUGAUGCAGCAACGCCGCGUGCGGGAUGACGGCCUUCGGGUUGUAAACCGCUUUCGCCUGUGACGAAGCGUGAGUGACGGUAAUGGGUAAAGAAGCACCGGCUACCUACGUG